GAUGAACGCUGGCGGCGUGCCUAAUACAUGCAAGUCGAGCGAACAGACGAGGAGCUUGCGCGUCUGACGUUAGCGGCGGACGGGAGAGUAACACGUGUAUAACCUACCUAUAAUACUGGUAUAACUUCGGGAAACCGGAUCUAAUACCGGAGAAUAUAUUGCACCGCAGGGGUCAAUGGUGAAAUUCGGUUGUUCUGGCUCUUAUAGAUGGUUCCCGGCCGCAUUAGCUAGUUGGUAAGGUAACGGCUUACUAAGGGAACGAUGCGUAGACGAACGCAGAGGCUGGUAGGCGGCCCUGGAGGUGAGCCGGCGACCAGGCUCCUACGGGAGGCCGCAGUCUGCAAUGGUCCGCAACAGGCGAGAGCUUGACGGAACAACGCGGCGUCAGUGACAGAGGUGCUGGGAGCGUAAAGACCUGUUACUAGGGAAGAACAACUGUGUCAGUUACUAUGGCCGUAUUGACGGUACCUAAUAAGGAAGCACCGGCUAACUACGUG
RNAcentral lists this ribosomal RNA (497 nucleotides) under uncultured bacterium. RNAcentral describes it as "partial 16S ribosomal RNA". It matches the Rfam family "Bacterial small subunit ribosomal RNA", at positions 28 to 507 of the family's 1533-position model. The record is from RNAcentral.